This 253-nucleotide ribosomal RNA is filed under the name uncultured bacterium. Its description in RNAcentral is "partial 16S ribosomal RNA". It matches the Rfam family "Bacterial small subunit ribosomal RNA", at positions 524 to 776 of the family's 1533-position model. The record is from RNAcentral.
UACGUAGGUGGCAAGCGUUGUCCGGGAUUACUGGGUGUAAAGGGCGUGUAGGCGGGACUGCAAGUAAGAUGUGAAAUUCCCAGGCUCAACCUGGGGGCUGCAUCUGAAACUGUGGUUCUUGAGUGCUGGAGAGGAAAGCGGAAUUCCUAGUGUAGCGGUGAAAUGCGUAGAUAUUAGGAGGAACACCAGUGGCGAAGGCCGCUUUCUGGACAGUAACUGACGCUGAGGCGUGAAAGCGUGGGGAGCAAACAUG